GGGACGGCGGCUGGUCUGGUCACACAUGAAGGCUCUGGGACGGGAGGGGGGCAACGGAGACAGCCCUGCAGAAGGGAAAGCGGUUCUCAGGAACUGAAAAGCCACAGGAAAAAGCUGCUUGGUUUCAUUUCUCCCGGAAGAGCUGUGGCCGGAGCUCUCCACGGGCACCCAAGGCAGGCAGACCGCUCGGUCUGGCCGCUCCCAGUCUUGCAGGGUCCCUGCCGCCACCCACCCAGCCCGGCGGCGUGGUCUCACCACCCACCUCCCCAGCACCCUUGGCUGCUGACUUCAGGCUCCAGUCUUCGCCUAGGCUGUUCCCUCUGCUGAGAUGCCCUUCCCACCGCACGCUGAGCCCUGGACCAGGGCCCUGGCUGCCUCACAGCCCCACAGGGGGAAAUGAUGCAGAAGGGGCCCCAGCCCCACCCUGGGCCCAGCCUGUGGCCUAACAGUUGCUCCAUGUUUCCUGUGGGCUGCCAGCCAGAGCAAUUCUGGGGAGGCCAGGGCCGCAGGACUCAUCUUGUCCCCCGAGUCCCUCCAGCCUGAAGCAUGAGCAGCCCUGAGGCACCCACGGAGACUCCCGAGCCCAGUGACCCAGGCCUGCCAGCUCCGCCUGCCUACUGCAACCUUGGGGAGGUCCGGGCCCACCUGCUACCCUCCAAGGCCUGUCGGUCCCGCACCCCCGCGUCCCUCUCCUCCAACUCCCAGCCCCCGCCCCUGCCCAAGAAGACCCUGACCCGGACACAGUCCCUGCCCACUCGCGGGGUCCCCAGCGCCCGCGCGGCACAGCCCCGGAGGCCUCUCCUCGGAUCCCACAGUGUGGACGAGAGCCAGGCCGGGGCGGGCCCUGUUGGGCUCACUGCUGAGCUGAUCUCGGGCAACGAUGACGCCGACGCCACUGCGGGGGAGCCACACAGCCCCGAGGCCUUGCACGCAGCGCUGGCAGCCCGCGAGCUGCAGGGGCUCCGAGUGGUGCACGCGCGGCUCGGGGCGCGGCUCACGGGCAGCCUCCCAGGACCCUGCAGCGCCGGCCACGGCUUCCGCCUGCUGGAGCUGGCGCCCUGUGCCGAGAGCGGGGACGCGCUCUACUACCGUGUGGUACGCGCCGGCGACGACGCAUGGCACGUGCUGGCCGCCAAGGUGCCCAAGCCCGGAGCCGAGGCGCCCCACGCGUGGGGCCUGGAGCUCCAGGCCUCGCUGCCGCCGCACUACAACGUGCAGGGUCUCUGUGGGCUGGUGCCUGAGGGCGCACUGCCCGGGGCGCCCUGGACAGGCGUGCGCUGCUGGCGGGCGAGGUGCCCGAACGCACGGCGGCCCAGUGGCUGGCGGAGUUGGGGCAGCGGCGGCCGGAGGAGCUCGCGUGGGCUGUGGCCUUCACGCUGCUGCAGCUGAGCGCCGCCCUGGAGCUCCUGGAGGCGCGGGGGGCCGCCGUGACCGAGCUGCGCCCCGAAAACCUAAUGCUGGCGACGCCCCGGGGCU
This 1476-nucleotide long non-coding RNA is filed under the name Chinchilla lanigera (long-tailed chinchilla). RNAcentral describes it as "lncRNA (ENSCLAG00000027344.1)". The record is from RNAcentral. Lineage: Eukaryota; Metazoa; Chordata; Mammalia; Rodentia; Chinchillidae.